This 253-nucleotide ribosomal RNA is filed under the name uncultured bacterium. RNAcentral's name for it is "partial 16S ribosomal RNA". It matches the Rfam family "Bacterial small subunit ribosomal RNA", at positions 524 to 776 of the family's 1533-position model. The record is from RNAcentral.
GACAGAGGGUGCAAACGUUGUUCGGAAUUACUGGGCGUAAAGCGCGCGUAGGCGGCUUUGUAAGUUAGAGGUGAAAGCCCGGAGCUCAACUCCGGAACUGCCUUUAAAACUGCAUCGCUUGAAUCCAGGAGAGGUGAGUGGAAUUCCGAGUGUAGAGGUGAAAUUCGUAGAUAUUCGGAAGAACACCAGUGGCGAAGGCGGCUCACUGGACUGGUAUUGACGCUCAUGCACGAAAGCGUGGGGAGCAAACAGG